AUCCAGCUGACGAGCCACAAAUAGGACGAAACGCGCAUCCUGGAU
Molecule: non-coding RNA, 45 nt
Filed under: Schistosoma haematobium
Lineage: Eukaryota; Metazoa; Platyhelminthes; Trematoda; Strigeidida; Schistosomatidae
Source: RNAcentral